Molecule: ribosomal RNA, 497 nt
Filed under: uncultured bacterium
Lineage: Bacteria
Description: partial 16S ribosomal RNA
Rfam family: Bacterial small subunit ribosomal RNA
Source: RNAcentral
GAUGAACGCUGGCGGCGUGCCUAAUAUAUGCAAGUCGAGCGAACAGACGAGGAGCUUGCUCCUCUGACGUUAGCGGCGGACGGGUGAGUAACACGUGGAUAACCUACCUAUAAGACUGGGAUAACUUCGGGAAACCGGAGCUAAUACCGGAUAAUAUAUUGAACCGCAUGGUUCAAUAGUGAAAGACGGUUUUGCUGUCACUUAUAGAUGGAUCCGCGCCGCAUUAGCUAGUUGGUAAGGUAACGGCUUACCAAGGCAACGAUGCGUAGCCGACCUGAGAGGGUGAUCGGCCACACUGGAACUGAGACACGGUCCAAACUCCUACGGGAGGCAGCAGUAGGGAAUCUUCCGCAAUGGGCGAAAGCCUGACGGAGCAACGCCGCGUGAGUGAUGAAGGUCUUCGGAUCGUAAAACUCUGUUAUUAGGGAAGAACAAAUGUGUAAGUAACUAUGCACGUCUUGACGGUACCUAAUCAGAAAGCCACGGCUAACUACGUG